Molecule: ribosomal RNA, 1372 nt
Filed under: uncultured bacterium
Lineage: Bacteria
Description: bacterial SSU rRNA
Rfam family: Bacterial small subunit ribosomal RNA
Source: RNAcentral
GAUGAACGCUGGCGGCGUGCCUAAUACAUGCAAGUCGAGCGAACGGACGAGAAGCUUGCUUCUCUGAUGUUAGCGGCGGACGGGUGAGUAACACGUGGAUAACCUACCUAUAAGACUGGGAUAACUUCGGGAAACCGGAGCUAAUACCGGAUAAUAUUUUGAACCGCAUGGUUCAAAAGUAAAAGACGGUCUUGCUGUCACUUAUAGAUGGAUCCGCGCUGCAUUAGCUAGUUGGUAAGGUAACGGCUUACCAAGGCAACGAUGCAUAGCCGACCUGAGAGGGUGAUCGGCCACACUGGAACUGAGACACGGUCCAGACUCCUACGGGAGGCAGCAGUAGGGAAUCUUCCGCAAUGGGCGAAAGCCUGACGGAGCAACGCCGCGUGAGUGAUGAAGGUCUUCGGAUCGUAAAACUCUGUUAUUAGGGAAGAACAUAUGUGUAAGUAACUGUGCACAUCUUGACGGUACCUAAUCAGAAAGCCACGGCUAACUACGUGCCAGCAGCCGCGGUAAUACGUAGGUGGCAAGCGUUAUCCGGAAUUAUUGGGCGUAAAGCGCGCGUAGGCGGUUUUUUAAGUCUGAUGUGAAAGCCCACGGCUCAACCGUGGAGGGUCAUUGGAAACUGGAAAACUUGAGUGCAGAAGAGGAAAGUGGAAUUCCAUGUGUAGCGGUGAAAUGCGCAGAGAUAUGGAGGAACACCAGUGGCGAAGGCGACUUUCUGGUCUGUAACUGACGCUGAUGUGCGAAAGCGUGGGGAUCAAACAGGAUUAGAUACCCUGGUAGUCCACGCCGUAAACGAUGAGUGCUAAGUGUUAGGGGGUUUCCGCCCCUUAGUGCUGCAGCUAACGCAUUAAGCACUCCGCCUGGGGAGUACGACCGCAAGGUUGAAACUCAAAGGAAUUGACGGGGACCCGCACAAGCGGUGGAGCAUGUGGUUUAAUUCGAAGCAACGCGAAGAACCUUACCAAAUCUUGGCAUCCUUUGACAACUCUAGAGAUAGAGCCUUCCCCUUCGGGGGACAAAGUGACAGGUGGUGCAUGGUUGUCGUCAGCUCGUGUCGUGAGAUGUUGGGUUAAGUCCCGCAACGAGCGCAACCCUUAAGCUUAGUUGCCAUCAUUAAGUUGGGCACUCUAAGUUGACUGCCGGUGACAAACCGGAGGAAGGUGGGGAUGACGUCAAAUCAUCAUGCCCCUUAUGAUUUGGGCUACACACGUGCUACAAUGGACAAUACAAAGGGCAGCGAAACCGCGAGGUCAAGCAAAUCCCAUAAAGUUGUUCUCAGUUCGGAUUGUAGUCUGCAACUCGACUACAUGAAGCUGGAAUCGCUAGUAAUCGUAGAUCAGCAUGCUACGGUGAAUACGUUCCCGGGUCU